This 253-nucleotide ribosomal RNA is filed under the name uncultured bacterium. RNAcentral describes it as "partial 16S ribosomal RNA". It matches the Rfam family "Bacterial small subunit ribosomal RNA", at positions 524 to 776 of the family's 1533-position model. The record is from RNAcentral.
UACGUAGGGGGCAAGCGUUAUCCGGAUUUACUGGGUGUAAAGGGAGCGUAGACGGCAGGGCAAGUCUGGAGUGAAAGGCAGGGGCCCAACCCCUGGACUGCUCUGGAAACUGUCCGGCUGGAGUGCAGGAGAGGUAAGUGGAAUUCCUAGUGUAGCGGUGAAAUGCGUAGAUAUUAGGAGGAACACCAGUGGCGAAGGCGGCUCUCUGGCCUGUAACUGACACUGAGGCUCGAAAGCGUGGGGAGCAAACAGG